AAGGACAGAAUAAUGGGCUCCAGAUUCACAAGCCCCACCAAGAGGAUCACCCCAGGAACCCUUGGAGGCUGAGGAGUUCACUGAGGCUAGUGCAUCUCGAGACUCAGGAUGAAGACCCAACUUGGGGCUGUCAAAG
Unclassified non-coding RNA from Cercocebus atys (sooty mangabey), 136 nucleotides. The record is from Ensembl. NCBI's taxonomy places the organism in Eukaryota, Metazoa, Chordata, Mammalia, Primates, Cercopithecidae.